Molecule: ribosomal RNA, 253 nt
Filed under: uncultured bacterium
Lineage: Bacteria
Description: partial 16S ribosomal RNA
Rfam family: Bacterial small subunit ribosomal RNA
Source: RNAcentral
UACGGAGGGUACAAGCGUUGCCCGGAAUUACUGGGCGUAAAGCGCGUGUAGGCGGUCUCGUGUGUCUGGCGUGAAAGCCCCGGGCUCACCCCGGGAAGUGCGUUGGAAACUGCGAGACUAGAGUUCCGGAGAGGAAGGUGGAAUUCCAGGUGUAGCGGUGAAAUGCGUAGAUAUCUGGAAGAACACCGGUGGCGAAGGCGGCCUUCUGGACGGUGACUGACGCUGAGACGCGAAAGCGUGGGGAGCAAACAGG